This 301-nucleotide ribosomal RNA is filed under the name uncultured bacterium. RNAcentral's name for it is "partial 16S ribosomal RNA". It matches the Rfam family "Bacterial small subunit ribosomal RNA", at positions 509 to 809 of the family's 1533-position model. The record is from RNAcentral.
CAGCCGCCACGGUAAUACGAAGGGGGCUAGCGUUGUUCGGAAUUACUGGGCGUAAAGCGCACGUAGGCGGAUAUUUAAGUCAGGGGUGAAAUCCCGCAGCUCAACUGCGGAACUGCCUUUGAUACUGGGUAUCUUGAGUAUGGAAGAGGUUAGUGGAAUUGCGAGUGUAGAGGUGAAAUUCGUAGAUAUUCGCAGGAACACCAGUGGCGAAGGCGGCUAACUGGUCCAUAACUGACGCUGAGGUGCGAAAGCGUGGGGAGCAAACAGGAUUAGAUACCCCUGUAGUCCCUGUCUCUUAUAA